CGUGUAGGCGGCCAGGUAGGUCUGCUGUGAAAACUCGAGGCUUAACCUCGAGAUGUCGGCGGAAACCAUCUGGCUAGAGUCCGGAAGAGGAGAGUGGAAUUCCUGGUGUAGCGGUGAAAUGCGCAGAUAUCAGGAAGAACACCCGUGGCGAAGGCGGCUCUCUGGGACGGUACUGACGCUGAGAGCGAAAGCGUGGGGAGCGGACA
This 206-nucleotide ribosomal RNA is filed under the name uncultured bacterium. RNAcentral describes it as "partial 16S ribosomal RNA". It matches the Rfam family "Bacterial small subunit ribosomal RNA", at positions 568 to 774 of the family's 1533-position model. The record is from RNAcentral.